This 360-nucleotide long non-coding RNA is filed under the name Lathyrus oleraceus (garden pea). RNAcentral describes it as "Pisum sativum (pea) long non-coding RNA (PSAT_LNC035568)". The record is from RNAcentral. Lineage: Eukaryota; Viridiplantae; Streptophyta; Magnoliopsida; Fabales; Fabaceae.
AAAAAACUAAAUAAAAAAAGAAAUCUGUUGGACUACUAGUAAUUAAACCCAGCCGCUUGGCUGUUGGGUUUACAAUGGGGGAUAAGUUGAAAACAUAAAACAAUUAUUAACUAAUAACCUAGGAAAAUUAAACGAAUUUUUUUUAAUGUUUUUUUUUGAAUGUUUGCUCUACUGACAGCUAAAAAAAAGAAUUAAAUAAAAGGAAACAAAAAGAAAGAAAAAUGAAAAAUACUGUAAUGAAAAGGAGAGUCGUCGUCCUCAUCUCGCUCUCUCGCUCUCUCUUCUCCCAAUCUCUCUCACAAACUCAAACACUCAUUCUCUAUCAAACUCAAUCGUCCUCGACUUUACCCAAUCGUCUCU